CACGUAGGGCGCAAGCGUUGUCCGGAAUUAUUGGGCGUAAAGAGCUCGUAGGCGGUCUGUCGCGUCGGAUGUGAAAACCCAGGGCUCAACCCUGGGCCUGCAUUCGAUACGGGCAGACUAGAGUUCGGUAGGGGAGACUGGGAUUCCUGGUGUAGCGGUGAAAUGCGCAGAUAUCAGGAGGAACACCGGUGGCGAAGGCGGGUCUCUGGGCCGAAACUGACGCUGAGGAGCGAAAGCGUGGGGAGCAAACAGG
Molecule: ribosomal RNA, 253 nt
Filed under: uncultured bacterium
Lineage: Bacteria
Description: partial 16S ribosomal RNA
Rfam family: Bacterial small subunit ribosomal RNA
Source: RNAcentral